GACGGUACAGCUCAGUGGUAGAGCGCGUGCCCAGCAUGCAUGAGGUCCUGGGUUCGAUUCCCAGUGCCUCCA
Molecule: transfer RNA, 72 nt
Filed under: Camelus bactrianus (Bactrian camel)
Lineage: Eukaryota; Metazoa; Chordata; Mammalia; Artiodactyla; Camelidae
Also listed under: 2 other names
Rfam family: tRNA
About the family: Transfer RNA (tRNA) molecules are approximately 80 nucleotides in length. Their secondary structure includes four short double-helical elements and three loops (D, anti-codon, and T loops).
Source: Rfam by way of RNAcentral